GCUGUGAUGGCCGAGAGAUUAAGGCGUUGUACUCGAAAUCCAAUGGGGUCUCCCCGCGCAGUUCGAACCCUGCUCGCAGCG
Non-coding RNA from Salmo salar (Atlantic salmon), 81 nucleotides. Lineage: Eukaryota; Metazoa; Chordata; Actinopteri; Salmoniformes; Salmonidae. The record is from Rfam.